Molecule: long non-coding RNA, 2277 nt
Filed under: Setaria italica (foxtail millet)
Lineage: Eukaryota; Viridiplantae; Streptophyta; Magnoliopsida; Poales; Poaceae
Description: long non-coding RNA (SITA_LNC000625)
Source: RNAcentral
AUUCGUGCAGCGUAUACACAGGAUUUUGAAUACCAGAUAUCAUUUUAUAUGACGUUAGUUAGUUCAAAAAAGAACUGACCAACAUCAAAUAUUAUGAGUUGGAGGGAGUACAUAAUUGCGCCUUUUGGCCUUCAAGAAUUCAGAUCCCGGCCUUAUUUGGUCUCGCAAAACUGUAAAAGUUUAUCGUACUUGCAGUGAUCGGUGCUGCUUAAUGCUUAUGCCAUUCCUAAUCCAACCAUAUGGAGCGUGGACGCACCACAGCAGGCCUGGAAGCAUAGAUGUGGAUUACAGGAUUAGCAGCUGAGCGUUUGAGCAGAGUCCCCGAAGUACGCGCUCACAGUCACACUGUCACACAUCAUUCCUUGCGGACAGACGGCAGUCCAAUCACAUGCGAGAUGUGUGGAGGGGACUGGAUUCUGGGCUCCUGUGGAAGAUAGAUAAGAAAGGAAACUUCCAUCCCACCUCCGGCCCAUUAAACUCCUCUUCCUCUUCUUCUUCCCCGGUCACCUCCCACCCCCGCCACCUCCUCCACCACCCCGGCCGGCGGCUGUCGCGCCGCCCGCUAUCCACCGCCGCCCUUCCUAGCCCGACGCCGCGCAUAACCCCCGCCGCCGGCCACUGCCCACUGGAUAUCUAGCCCUACCCGGCCGGCGGUGCUCCCGCGCCGCCUUGCCCCCGCCACCGGCCGAACCGCCACCACCGCCGGGCCUGCCGCCGCCGCCGACCUCCCUCCUCUAAGGCCGGUGGCCAUUAGAACCCUCGAAACCCGGACCCCCGAACCCUAACCCUAACCCUAACCCUAAGUACCGUCGGCCUCGACCACCGCCCGCUGCCGGCGGCGACCUCACCGCCGAGCCGCCCCGCCCACCUCCCGCCCCUCCGGCGAGCUUUCUCCUCCCAGCUUCCACCUCGGCGGCGGCGCGUCACGAGACAAGCGGCGGCGCGCGAGAGAGAAGCAGCCUGUGAGGAAGAUGGAGAUCGUGCGGCUAGCAGUGGCCGCACGAAUCUCCAACAUCGGAAGACUCAACGUCUUCCACCUUCCAGAAGAUGGAUAGGCUUUCCGCUGGAUUCUGGGCCUCACGUGGAUGGAUCGCAAAACCUGGGCUAGCCCGGUUCGUCGCGCAUCGUGGUAUGGGCUGCGUCACGGACCGAGCUAGAAGGCCGGCACAGCCCAUUCUCUUGGGUCUUGCUGUUUGUUUAGGCCCUCCUUAAAAACAUGUUUAGGUCCUCCAGUUUUUUUUUUUGAAACAUUCUAGGUCCUCCAGUUGGUUUCAGGUUAUCCAUACAUCGUAAAAGCAGUUUGUAACAUUGUACGUGGAGGCUAGGACUAGGGGAGAGAGAGAUGUUGCCUCAUAACUGUAUGGCAUGUGGAUCGUAUCAAUUCAACAUCUGGUUUUUUUCAGAUUGUGGAUUGCUACCAUCUGGAAACUUUUCCUUUCACAAUCUGCAAAGCUGAAACAAACAUUUUGCUUGCUAGUUGCUGCUACUUCCUUUUUCUAAAAACAAGUUGCUUCUACCCCUUCCUUUGUCCCCACAAAAAAAAGGCUGCUGUUACUCCCUCCUCCGUCCCUGGAGUUGCUGGGACAACUAGACUAGCAAGUAACGUCAGUAAAGGACGGGGGAAAAAAAGCUUGUGUCAAGAACUUAACCAAGUCAGAGCUAAUCAGAACCGUGAACUGACGGCGGCUACUAAUCAGUAUGUUACCACGAUGCUUAUCUGUGGCCAAACGUCACCUCACCUGACGGCUCACGCCACGUACAAGAUGACCACGCAUCCAGUGAUCCAAAUCUUGCCCCCAGCGGCAACCUCGCGCAUAAAAAUACCUCGAGAAUGGCCUGCCCAGCAAGCAAGGCAAGGGUGGGUAAACGAACAAAUAAGAGUGCCUGCAACUGCAAAACGCUAGGCGCCCCGUUUCGACGAGUAGCAGUUUCAGAUUCGGCAGCGUGAGCGUGAGCGUGAGCGUCUUACCAGUUACCAGUUACCCUCUCUCAGCAACCGAGCCUGCCGGAGACGCCAGGUCAAGACAAGCGGCACCUCCAAUUCCCCCGUUCCUGACCAGCGACCAUGAUUCACGAGCGGGGCGAGAGGGAGGGAGGAGCUGGUCCCGGGUCCCGGCGGAACCCUUUUGUUUUGCGCCGGCUGGCGUACGCUGGUACUGUACCAGCGCACGGCACUUGAGCGCGGACGCGCGGUGCCUUUGCCCGUGACCACAGUGAAAACUUUAGCAACGUGCCUGUGUCGCUGUGUCGCCUCGGGGCCCCCGCCCGCCUCCUGAG